GACAUGCUAGUCGAGCGCCUUCCGGCCACGAAGAAGGCGCGGCACACAGCUCAGUAACACGUAGCUAACCUGCCCUCGGGACGAGAACACCCCCGGGAAACUGGGGCUAAUUCUCGAUAGGCGAAGAACUCUGGAAUGAGUCUUUACCCAAAAGACGUUUAGAUCAUGCUUCUAGGCGUCGCCCAAGGAUGGGGCUGCGGCCGAUCAGGUAGUUGGUGAGGCAAUGGCUCACCAAGCCUUUAACCGGUGCGGGCCGUGGGAGCGGGAGCCCGGAGAUGGGCACUGAGACAAGGGCCCGGGCCCUACGGGGCGCAGCAGUCGCGAAAACUUUGCAAUAAGCGAAAGCUUGACAGGGCUAUCCCGAGUGCCAUCCGCUGAGGAAGGCUUUUACCCAGUCUAGUAAGCUGGGGGAAUAAGGAGAGGGCAAGUCUGGUGUCAGCCGCCGCGGUAAUACCAGCUCUCCGAGUGGUGUGGAUGUUUAUUGGGCCUAAAGCAUCCGUAGCUGGCUGAGUUAGUCCCCUGUUAAAUCCACCGAAUCAAUCGUUGGAUUGCGGGGGAUACUGCUCGGCUAGGGGACGGGAGAGGCAGACGGUAUUUCCGGGGUAAGGGUGAAAUCUUAUAAUCCCGGGAAGACCACCAGUGGCGAAGGCUGUCUGCUAGAACGCGCCCGACGGUGAGGGAUGAAAGCUGGGGUAGCGAACCGGAUUAGAUACCCGGGUAGUCCCAGCCGUAAACGAUGCAGCUAGGUGUUUGGGCGGCCACGUGCCGCUCUAGUGCCGCAGGGAAGCUGUUAAGCCUGCCGCCUGGGGAGUACGAUCGCAAGAUUGAAACUUAA
This 835-nucleotide ribosomal RNA is filed under the name uncultured crenarchaeote. Its description in RNAcentral is "bacterial SSU rRNA". It matches the Rfam family "Archaeal small subunit ribosomal RNA", at positions 48 to 859 of the family's 1478-position model. The record is from RNAcentral. Lineage: Archaea; Thermoproteati; Thermoproteota.